RNAcentral lists this transfer RNA (73 nucleotides) under Ixodes scapularis (black-legged tick). It matches the Rfam family "tRNA". From Rfam's summary of the family: Transfer RNA (tRNA) molecules are approximately 80 nucleotides in length. Their secondary structure includes four short double-helical elements and three loops (D, anti-codon, and T loops). Lineage: Eukaryota; Metazoa; Arthropoda; Arachnida; Ixodida; Ixodidae. The record is from Rfam by way of RNAcentral.
GCCUUGGUGGCUCCGAGGCGAGAGCGCCGGCCUACGGAUCCCCCGGUGGCGGGUUCAAAUCCCGACCGAGGUG